Molecule: long non-coding RNA, 781 nt
Filed under: Ananas comosus (pineapple)
Lineage: Eukaryota; Viridiplantae; Streptophyta; Magnoliopsida; Poales; Bromeliaceae
Description: long non-coding RNA (ACOM_LNC032705)
Source: RNAcentral
UCGAGGGCAGUUUAGCAGUUCGGAACAGUUGGAGCCCUUCUGAAUGUCCGUUUGGGCUCAAAUUUGACAGGCAUGCUCGGUUUAACGUACUGAGUAAGAACAUAUCUUAAAUUUUUAGUUUCGACCCCAUUUGGUCACCGAAAACGGUACCGAACUAUAAUAUUUAUCAGAUAGCUAUCGGAUUUUAUUUCUCACUCUACCGGUGUCAGAAAAAUAUAAAACUUCAAAUCUAGCCUCAUAAAAAUAUUUCUGACCUAUCCUCCAAUUUUCAUAAUUUCUGAGACUAUGCAUUUUCUGCUAAUUUAUCUGUCCCGUUUCCAACAGAAAAUUCUAAAUCUUUUGUUUCCAGUCCGAUUUCAGCACAAGUUAUUUCUGACUUAUGUUUUACUCCUAAUAAUUCAAUAAAAAUAGUUUCUCAUGCUAUUUUUAUUUAUUUUUAUUUUUAUACCAAAAUCUAGUAUGUUACACACACACAGCCCAAGAUCACCAGGCGAUGUAAGACUCGUCUUGCUAGCCCGUCAUCCAGACCCUGGCUCAGCCGAGACUCGCCACACAUCUCCAGCUGGUGAACCGGCUCUGAUACCAAAUAUAACGACCCAUCCCACUAGCAAUAAUAACUCGUUGGGCCUAACAACCGGCCCAAAAUGCUUAAGCCCAAUUAUUAUUACUAGUGCCUAAGUCUCUUAUAAACCCAAUGACAACCCCAUUCCCAUCCGAUGUGGGACUAUUGGGGUGUCACAAGAUUUCUUCAUUUAACUUUCCAUUUAGAAAAGCUGUUUUU